AUGGUUUUUGGAACUCCAAUGGGUGAUGAAAAGGAUUCUUGGAAAGUGAAAACCUUGGAUGAAAUCCUUCAGGAAAAGAAACGAAGGAAGGAGCAAGAGGAGAAAGCAGAGAUAAAGCGCAUGAAAAACUCGGAUGAUAGGGAUUCAAAGCGGGAUUCUCUUGAAGAGGGGGAGCUGAGAGAUCACCGCAUGGAGAUCACGAUCCGCAAUUCGCCGUACCGCAGGGAGGACUCCAUGGAGGACAGAGGAGAAGAAGAUGAUUCCUUGGCUAUAAAACCACCACAGCAAAUGUCACGGAAAGAAAAAACCCAUCAUAGAAAAGAUGAGAAGAGGAAAGAGAAACGGAGACACCGCAGUCAUUCAGCAGAAGGGAAACAUGCCAGAGUGAAGGAGAAAGAACGGGAACACGAGCGUAGGAAGAGGCAUAGAGAAGAGCAGGAUAAGGCCCGACGUGAGUGGGAAAGGCAGAAACGGAGAGAAAUGGCGAGGGAGCAUUCCAGGAGGGAGAGAGAUCGUCUGGAGCAACUUGAGAGAGAACGAGAGAGAAAAAUCAGAGAGCAGCAGAAAGAACAAAGGGAGCAAAAAGAGCGUGAGAGGAGAGCUGAAGAAAGGCGUAAGGAGCGGGAAGCCAGAAGAGAAGUUUCUGCACACCAUAGAACAGUGAGGGAAGAAUAUGGAGACAAAGUGAAAAUGAGACCCUGGAGUCGCAGCCCAUUACGACAGCAGAGAGACAAGCCUGAGCAAGCAGAUAGCAGGAAACCAGUGAAAGAAGAGAAACCAGAAGAAAGAGACCCUCUUUCAGACUUGCAAGACAUCAGUGACAGUGAAAGAAAAACAAGCUCAGCUGAGUCUUCAUCAGCAGAGUCUGGGUCAGGCUCAGAAGAAGAGGAAGAAGAGUCGAGCAGUGAAGGAUCUGAGGAAGAGGGAGAAGAAGAGGAGGAGGAGGAGGAGGAGACAGGGAGCAAUUCUGAGGAGGUGUCUGAGCAGUCAGCUGAAGAGGUGAGCGAAGAAGAAAUGAGUGAAGAGGAAGAACGAGAGAAUGGAAACCACAUCCCAGUUGUUACAGAGUCGAGGUUUGAUCGCGAUUCAGCGGGCAGUGAGGUUGAGGAAGAGGAGGUGGGGGAGGGCAGCCCUCAGUCCAACGCCAUGACGGAAGGAGACUAUGUUCCUGACUCACCUGCUUCUUCCCCUAUUGAACUGAAACAGGAGCUUCCUAAAUAUCUUCCUGCACUUCAGGGGUGUCGUAGUGUGGAGGAGUUUCAGUGUUUGAACAGGAUUGAAGAGGGAACAUACGGUGUGGUGUACAGAGCAAAAGACAAAAAGACUGAUGAAAUUGUGGCUCUGAAGCGACUGAAAAUGGAGAAGGAAAAGGAAGGCUUCCCCAUUACUUCUCUCAGAGAAAUAAAUACUAUUCUGAAAGCACAACACCUAAAUAUCGUCACAGUCAGAGAAAUCGUUGUAGGUAGUAAUAUGGAUAAAAUCUAUAUUGUUAUGAACUACGUAGAACAUGAUCUCAAGAGUCUGAUGGAAACAAUGAAGCAACCAUUUCUACCAGGUGAAGUGAAAACCUUGAUGAUCCAGUUACUACGAGGAGUCAAGCAUCUUCAUGACAACUGGAUACUUCACCGGGACUUGAAAACUUCCAACCUGCUGCUCAGUCAUUCAGGAAUUUUAAAGGUUGGAGAUUUUGGAUUGGCCCGAGAAUAUGGAUCUCCUCUGAAGCCUUACACACCAGUGGUGGUGACACUUUGGUACAGGGCUCCGGAGUUGUUGCUUGGAGCCAAGGAAUAUUCAACAGCGAUAGACAUGUGGUCAGUAGGGUGUAUCUUUGGAGAACUCUUAACUCAGAAACCACUGUUUCCAGGGAAGUCGGAAAUUGAUCAGAUUAACAAAGUUUUUAAGGAUCUAGGUACUCCAAGUGAAAAAAUCUGGCCUGGUUACAAUGAGCUGCCAGCAGUGAAGAAGAUGACAUUCACGGAAUAUCCCUACAAUAAUCUACGCAAGAGAUUUGGAGCACUCCUCUCUGAUCAGGGCUUUGAUCUAAUGAACAACUUUUUGACGUACUACCCAGCCAGAAGAAUUACUGCUGAAGAUGGUUUGAAGCACGAGUAUUUCCGUGAGACUCCCCUUCCUAUUGACCCCUCCAUGUUUCCUACAUGGCCAGCCAAAAGUGAACAACAAAGGGUGAAACGUGGCACCAGCCCCCGCCCACCCGAGGGAGGCCUUGGCUACAGUCAGUUGGGCGAUGAUGAUCUGAAAGACACCGGUUUUCAUCUGACCACCACGAAUCAAGGAGCAUCUGCUGCUGGGCCUGGAUUCAGCCUCAAGUUUUAAACUCAGUGAGAAGAGGGAAAAAAAGAGAACCGUUCACGUGAGUGGAUUUCUGAGUGCCCCAGUUCUGUUCUUCACGUCAGGGAAACUAGAUGGUUUUCACCGGGGUAAAGUCAAAUGUCAUCCCAGAUUCAAAGACUUUUGCUGGGUGUGGAGUAUAACUGCUGCAUUCCAUUAGAGGACUGGAAUUAACAGGAAAAGCCAACGAUCGUUAUAAAAUUUGACAAAGGAAAACUUGAAGUACAAUCCUUGAUCUCUUUUUUUCCUUUUUUUUUUUUUUUUGUUUCUUCUUGCUUUUCUCCUUGUAAAUUUGUAGAAUUAAAAUACGUUUUUAAUUGUUUAACAGCGUGAAGGAUGUCAUUUCCUCACAUGCAGCAAACGUGGAUGUUGGUGGCAUUAAGUCUUCUAGAGUGGAAAUAGCUCCUCCUAGAAUGCUGACCUAUUCUGCAAUACAUGAGAUGCUUAAGGUAGGAAGAAACGUGUUUGAAGAGAUUAAGACAGCAACUAGAAAUGGACGAACCAAAGCAGAGAAUGAUGUAGGCUGCCUUAAUACUGGAUAAGGAUCUUUCAGGUACUCAUUAAAUACAAUGACUGUCAGGGUUUGUAACUGCACAAGUGAAUUCCCAACUGAUAGAUG
Meleagris gallopavo (turkey) is the source of this 2968-nucleotide non-coding RNA. The record is from RefSeq and is a predicted model, not a curated record. Lineage: Eukaryota; Metazoa; Chordata; Aves; Galliformes; Phasianidae.